RNAcentral lists this ribosomal RNA (274 nucleotides) under uncultured bacterium. RNAcentral's name for it is "partial 16S ribosomal RNA". It matches the Rfam family "Bacterial small subunit ribosomal RNA", at positions 523 to 796 of the family's 1533-position model. The record is from RNAcentral.
AUACGGAGGGGGCUAGCGUUGUUCGGAAUUACUGGGCGUAAAGCGCGCGUAGGCGGAUCGUUGAGUCAGGGGUGAAAGCCCGGAGCUCAACUCCGGAACUGCCCUUGAUACUGGCGAUCUCGAGUCCGGGAGAGGUGAGCGGAAUUCCUAGUGUAGAGGUGAAAUUCGUAGAUAUUAGGAGGAACACCAGUGGCGAAGGCGGCUCACUGGCCCGGUACUGACGCUGAGGUGCGAAAGCGUGGGGAGCAAACAGGAGUAGAAACCCUAGUAGUCC